UUAACUUCGUUUCUGCUUUCAACAUGGCUAAGACCAGUCUUUGUUCAACAUCUCUAUCUUUUCUUGUUCUUCUAAUCAUUUUUCUUUCUUUCUCUGCAGUGCUUGUUCCAGUAACUACUGCAGAUCUGAAAAUGAGAAAACUUGGUGACAUGGCAAGUCCACCUCCUUCACCAAAGCUUGGCAAUCCACAAAUGCCUGGUAGUCAACCUUCUACUCCUCCAUUCAUGUUGCUUAAUCCCUG
This 241-nucleotide small RNA is filed under the name Vigna angularis var. angularis. RNAcentral describes it as "Non-protein coding transcript". The record is from RNAcentral. Lineage: Eukaryota; Viridiplantae; Streptophyta; Magnoliopsida; Fabales; Fabaceae.